Macaca fascicularis (crab-eating macaque) is the source of this 314-nucleotide unclassified non-coding RNA. It matches the Rfam family "Metazoan signal recognition particle RNA". From Rfam's summary of the family: The signal recognition particle (SRP) is a universally conserved ribonucleoprotein. It is involved in the co-translational targeting of proteins to membranes. The record is from Ensembl. Lineage: Eukaryota; Metazoa; Chordata; Mammalia; Primates; Cercopithecidae.
GCCAGGCAUGGUGGUGUGUGCCUAUAGUUCCAGCUACUUGGGAGGCUGAGGUGGGGGGAUCACUUGAGCUUAGGGGUUCUGGGCUGUAUUGUAGUGUGCUCCACCGAUCAAGUGUCUCCACUAAGUUCAACAUCGAUAAUAUUGACCUCCCAUCAAUAUGGGAAUGGGAGACCACCAGGUUGCCUAAGGAAUGAUGAACUGGCCCAGGUCAGAGACAGAGCUGGGCAAAACUCUAGUGCUGAUCUGUAGUGGGACCGUGCCUGUGCAUAGCUACUGCAUGCCACCCUGGGCAACAUAGCAAGACCCUGUCUCUU